CAGGAAGGAGAGGAUUGUUUCACUCUUCCCCCCCCCCCAAAGAAAAGAGUAGGGCUCCUCUUCUUAAAUCGUUCACUUGAGUGGGUGGAUGAGGUGAAAGGGGGUGUGAUGGGUAUCCCUUGGCACUUGUAAGACUAAGCACCUUAAACUGAACUAAUGCACUUUAUUAUUAAGUUUGAAUAUUUUUUUUAUGAAUACAGAAUCUGUGUGGUGUGUGUGUGUGUGUGUAUUGAAUCUACACGCAAUGCCGUAUGUAUACACGUGAAAAUCUGAACUGGAAGGGUGAGGUGAAUGGUUGGUGGGAUAGGCUCACUGGGAGGGGGAACUCAAAGGUAGAGGGGACCUUUAUUUUGAAACCUUAUCAGAAAAACCAAUCUUUUCUUUAAAGACAAACACUGUUGUUUUUUUUGUUGUUUUUUAAGAUAAUACAUUUAUAUAAAAAGUAAAGCUAUUACAAAAAAAUGGAUACAAAGAAAACUUGAAGAUUUGCACUUGUGUUAAAAAAGAAAGAUAAAAUAAAAAAACAAAUGAGGUUAGGUAUAGAGAUUAAUAUUUUGUGUGUGUGUGUGUGAGGGCUGCUGUGUAUCAGAAACAUACUAGUCUGCACAAUGUAUAUAUUUUUUCCAUUGCUUACCAAGAUGUACGUCAUUUGGUUCAAAUUAGAUACAUUUUUUAUUUUUCUUUCAUGAGUAGAAUGUCUGUCCUCUUGUACAUGGGGACCUUCUUUGAAUACUUGUGUGUGAGACCGAGAGUGAGAGGGCAAUCCCACAACACAUCCUUCCUCUCACCAGCUCGUCAUCCCCAGAUAGACGUAGUGGAAACACAUACAUUUGUAGAGGAGGAUUAUGGCUUUAUGUUGUUGACCACCACUUGUUUAUUUUUUUCUGUGUGAUUUUGGAGUAUGGGUUAUACCCCUCCCCUGCGGUCUUCUCUCAGCCACGGUCUCUGAGCCUCUGUGAGGUUUCAAACAGACAGUGGUAAGGAUCUUUAGUGUGUGUGUGUACGCCUGUGUCUUUACUAAUCAUAGGAAAGAAGUGAUCCCUACGUGUGUGUGUGUGUGUGUGUGUGUGUGUGUGUGUGUGUGUGUGUGUGUGUGUGUGUGUGUGUGUGUGUGUGUGUGUGUGUGUGUGUGCAUGCACAUUUUUGCCUUAGAACUCUGAAAGGGUGAAUGGGAGGGAAUAUUCAAUGACCAUUGAGACAUGAACUACUUUUGAGUGUACUGUGAUGUUAAGUUAAAGGAGAAUUAAACUAUUUUUAGGGACCUAAUCUUUAUUUUUCAUGUAAAAUGGCAUGUUAUUAGAAAGGGUCCAGACGACAUAUUCUUUUGGCAAUUUCAUUUGGUUUUGAGAAACUUACCCAGAAGCGAUCGACUUCCUGGGCCUCAUUCUGGAGUUCCGGGACAUCCCAAAACAUGAAAAACGUGAGCGCUUUUCUGUUUGUAAAAGGAUGUUUUUGGAGCCUUUUCAUGUUUUUUGGAUGCCCCGGAACUCCAGGCUUGAGAAGUCGAUCCCUGCCGGGGUACAUUUUUCAAAACCAAGUGAAAUUGCAAAAAGAAGGGUCUGUAAACCUUGUAUAACAUUCCAUUUACAUCCAAAAUAAAGAUGAGGUUCUUAAUGAAAUUCUCUUAAGCACUCUGCACAGUCAAUGUGCAUGUCAGUCAUGUAUCCUAAUAGUUGUAGUAUAGCCUGGGGAUGAUGACUCUUCUUCUUUGUAAGGUUAGUCCGGUUUAGUUUUCCUGGGACGUGAUCACGUUGCCUUGUCGGCUUUCUUUAACUUGCGUGUGAAAGGUGUUGAGUUUCAGAUUCUGCUCAAAACGAUUGGCAUCAAACUGUCUGUGUACAGGACGGUGCACAACAUGUUAGCAUAUUCGUGUUACUUAUUGUUGUUGCUAUUGAUAAUGAUGGUGGUGACUUUUUUUCUGAAUAUAAAUGAACAUUUAUAUAUGAAUAUAUACAAAGAAAAAAAAAAGAUUUUGACUAAGAUUAUGAUAAGCACUUGGGGCUGCUUUUUUAUUUUUUUUCUUAAUUUGUUUUUGUUUCAUUACCGCCAUGUGAAGUGCGUUUUGUUUUUUCUUUCUUAAGAAAACUUUGAAUGUAUUCCCCUCCUCCCCCCCAAAAAAGACAAAAUGUGAUGAUACCGGAUAUAAUUUCAACAACAACAAAAAAACUCAGAUUGAAGAGGUCACCUUUUCUUUUUUACUCCGAGGAAGAACUCGGGAUGGCUACAGUUGAUCCCACUGCCUCUGCAAUCCUGUUCUUACAAAAACAAUAUUACUAUGAGAAAUAAAAUAGACUAUUUUCUAUUCCUUACUGGAUUUUUGGUUGUUUACAAAACACAGAUUUCUGUGGGUGCAGUUUUUUUGUGUAGGGGGUGGGGUUUUGCGAGUGUGCUUCUGCAAUAUGGACGUUCAUUGGCGUACAUUGCUUUUGGCGGGAGGAGGAGUGACAUCACAAUGUGACGGACAAGAUCCUUGCCCUUUGACCCUUUAGUGGGCAUGGCUCUUUGGAAUUGACUGAUCCUCAAGGUGCGCAGGAGAAAGAAUUCAACAACAAAGUUAGUCUGUUUUUUUUUGGUUUUGGGGGAGUUCAUUAUUAGUGUGUCUUCCGGUUUCAUUUAGUUACUUUUUUGUUGUUGAACUGUCUAUCUUAACUAGACAAGUACUGAAAGAAGUAUAAAGCUUAAACAAAAAGCAGGGCACAGCAGAGGUGUUUUUGGUACUUCGACCACAAAUAGAGGAAACAACAAUAUCAUCGCUUUAAUAGGAGAGAAAAAAUGCCCUGGAGUGAAAUUGGAGUUUUAUUUUUUAUCCACCAACGUAAAAGAGACAGAUGGACAAAUCUUUUAGGGGUGGAUGAGAAUAAAGGAAAUUUGAAGAUUUUGUAAAACUGUACAUACAUGAUGUUGACCUCAAAUCUACCAUUGCAUUUGAUUGGACUGUGUCAGCAGCAUAUCUUACUUUUUAUCAUUAUACUUUUUUAAGGGGGCUCAGGGUGUGCAGUGGGAGUGUAUUAACCCUGCAAUGAGGGGAAAUGAAAGGGUACCAGUACUGAUCCCUGGGGGACACCCCUCGACACUCACACCCUGCCCUGACACUCACUAUGCACUUUCUAACUGUGAGGUUCCAUUACAUUUGGGACGGGAGCACAGAAAUAUUAUAGUACAAAGGGAGGGUUGGAAAAUGUAACUUUUUGAGUUUUUAGUUAGUACCGUCUCACUGAAAACGAGACUCAAACCGAAACGAAAGACUUAGGAACACACCUUCCUCCUGUACAUAACCAUAUUUUUGUAUUACCUUUUUUUAGAAAAUCUCUUGGACAAAACCACAAGGCUUGAUAUAAAAACAAACAGAUGAAAGAAAUUCAAGACAGAUUGAGGAACAGAGUGAAUGUUCCUCAAGGAAACAUGUUUUUUUUGUUGAAAUACUGAGGUAAAUUAACUACCUGGAAGUUCCCUUGACUUUGCCAGUGGCCCUGUCUAUCAUCAGGAGUGGCGAAAGAAAGGACUUAACGUGGAUGGAGUUGCGGACUGUAGGGACUACCAAGACUGAUUGGUGAUCAUCGUCUGUCAUCAAAAUGGACUCCGCUGCAGAGCCCAGCCCAGGGUGUUUGAACAACAAUCGCCAACCAAUGGAGAAGGCAGGGGAGAGACAACACAAACGAUGGAUGUACGGGGAGACCUUCUGCCCAGAUGCCCCCCCCGCCUUCUGCCACCUAGCCACUGCCUGGAGAUCAACUACAAGGUGACUGCAAGAAGAGAACCAUCAUAUAGGAUUCUAACUGUUCCUAGCUGCCCUCUGUUGGAAAGGAGAUGGAGCGUACUGUAUCUUCAAACCUUUCUUUUCCUCUUCUUUCUGCCCCCUGGUGGUAAAAGUGCCAAGCAGAAACCACAGCAGCAGAGGAACUUGGAACAGUGGACUACACACAAACGUAGAGCUUUACUCAUGUGUACAGUACACGCAGCUGGAUUCUGGUAAAAUAAUUGCAAGCACACAUUCUCAAAAAGACUUGCUCUUUUCUAGAACCACAUUCACACACACAACUAAUAGAGCCUGUCAUUACACCAGUGUUUCCCAAACUCGGUCCUGGAGGCCCCAAGGGGUGCACUACACAGCUGAUUCAAAUAAUCAACUAAUCAUCAAGCGCUGGUUAUUCGAAUCAGUUGUGUAGUGCUAGGGCAUAAACAAAAACGUGCACCCCUUGGGGUCCCCAGGACCGAGUUUGGGAAACACUGCAUGACACAUUCAUGCACACACACACACACACACACAAGCGGAAAGGCUCAAUACUACACGCUUGAGUUCAAACUGCUAUGUAAAUAACGUGAAAGUAUUUUGUUUUCGUCUAAUUGUUUUCCUUUUCUCUCUGUUCAACAUGCCUUAACUGUACAGAUCUGCCUUGUAUGGCAAACUCUAAAUAUUCAAUAAACAGUAAGAGAACAUAAGGACAAUAGCAUUUGAAGGGGAGGUCUGUUCUACUUACUUGGACAGGACUGUCUUAUUAGCUAACAAUACUGUUGUAUGUUACGUUAUUUCUGUCCAGCAUCUAUUGCACGUCAGCAUGAAAGUAGAACUGUAGAAAACCCCUUACGACAAUGAUGAUGGUGGUUUGCCUUUUUUGAAAGCAAGAGUGUUUCUUUUCAGAUAUCCAGUUUUAAAUGCCUAUACAUGUAGUUGGUGUAGGGUGAGGAAUGAGAAGUCUGGAGUAUAGUGUGGAGCUGAGCUGACUUGGAAGGGUAUGUUAAAGGCCCAGUGCACCCCCCAAAAAAAACGACUUUAUAUAUAGUAUAUUUCCACAUUGAGGUUUGAAUAAUACUGUAAAACUGUGAAAAUGUUAAUGCUCUUUUAGUUUAAGAGCUAUUUGAAAAGACUGCCUAUUUUGGUGGGAUGGAGUUGCCGCCUACAUGGUGACAUAGACCAAUAAGAAGAAGCGUUCCAAACCUCUCUGCCAAUAACAGCUAGUUUAGUUUCCCUCCCCACCCAGACCACUCCCAGACAGUCCUUGCUAAAUUGAUCUUUGCUAAGAAGCUGUUUUUGUUUCUUUUUGACCAUUUUAAAUCAAUGAAAUCACAGUAAGGUAAUUAAACUGUUUCCCAGAAAUGAUUUGAUAUUGAGAUGUCUGCAUUGGACUUUUUAAAUCUGUCCUCUGUCUCACACACACACUACAUAUUACUAUUUACCCCAUCACUAGUAAUGGUUUGACGGAAAAGAUUUUGACACAAUAAUUCACAUUAUGAGACUUGAUUUGAAACAUGUUCAACUGUUUUAUCUUGGUGCUUACCACGCCUUAAAAUGGAGGAUAUAUUUAUUCUUGGCGUUCUCGGAGUAGCCUAAAUUGUCCCUAAACAUUUGACUACUGACCAUUUGUAAUGACUUAUGUCCCUGUAUAUUAGAAGCGUCUACUGUAGCUAAUGGUAUUGAAUGGCUGUAUACGAGUCAAGGUUUACUCAACAGAUUGAGUGGCUAUGAUACUUGUUGCUAUAUGUAUUCCAUUAUACAGUUGAUAAUGGGUUUGUCUCUCUUCUACUGAAGGUGCUUGGAACAGUUCUGAAACUUGUUCGUUUGUUUUUCGUAUGGAGAAACCCAGUACUUCCCCUGUCAGUUAGGUUGAAUGGAUUCAUUCUCUUAAGUGUUUUCCUAUUUAGAAUCAGUUCUGGUUGGUCCGACAAAACAAGUAUUAACUUCGUUGUAGGAUAUGACUGGUUCAGGUUUUUCCAUAUAUGUUAGCUUUGGCUUUCUACCCAGUUAGCACAUUUGGUUCCUUGGAAGUUGUGGGAAUGUUGUGUUUUUUUUGUUUCCCAUUGGUUGUGGGAAGAAGCCAUACCUUUCCUAACUGGUAAAACAGAAGAAGAAAAAAUGUACGUUCUGAGAACAGCAGUGAAAACUUUGCCUGUUCUGGGAAUGUUUAUUUUUUAGGUUGCAGGGAGGUUCUUACAACGUUUUACUCUGGUUCCUUUGAAGUUCCCCUCUGAGGUUUUAUUAAACAGUGAGAACGGAAAUUCUAGGUACUUGAAGUUUUUUUUUCAAAAAAGAGCACCGCUAGCUUAUUUGGGGUUAACUGUUUAAACUCCAAGCACAGAUCAGACACAUGGAAAUUCAUGCAAACAUUUAAAAAAAAAAAAUUGUGACAUUGCAUCUGUGAGAUUCGAACCUAUAAUCUUCUGGAAUUAGUCUACUGUGCCAUCAGGAUGGAGCGAGUGUGCCAUUGUUUUUUUUACACAUACAAAUCUGUUCCUUUGAGUCUUCAAACAGACCACAUUUUUAAAGGAAACAGCACUCAAGCUCAGGUGUGGCCAAUUAGUGGGUGCGGCCACCACACCCAAACACACUUAACAAGAGUGUUUUGGUGACGCUGAGAACAGAAUGUAUGUUUUGAAAUAACGUUCUCUGAACAUUAAAGUUUUUAUAGGACGUUUUAAACAAAUGAGAACAUAACUUUAAAUAGAACCAUGAGGAAACGUUAUGCUGAAGUACUGAAAUUACCACAGAAGAACGUUGUUUAACGUUCUCUGAACUAUGAGAACAUUCCCAAUGUCAAACCAGUUGGAGAAUGUUCUUAAAACAUUACCAAAACUGAACUUAAAUGUAACCAUGUUUGAACUUUUAGGAAACAUUCUGUUAAAAGUAAUGACAUUUGACAAAGUGCUGAGAAUGUUCCAAAGCCAAGCAACUAUCCUGCAACAUUCCCAGAAAGUUGUGAAAAGGUCAUAUGCAAAAUCAACACGACCAGACUCUCACCAAACUAUUAAAACAUAUGGUUCUCAGAAAGUUACGUUUUAGCUGGGUUGGUUUUGAAUACACUCUAUUCAGUCCGUUUGGAUCAGUUUAUGUAUUGGUUAGUGCCGAUUGGGGAAAAUCUAAAAUGUCACUGAAGUACUUUGUGAAGACCGAGAGAGCAGGAUAUUGUCAUUAUUUGAAUUCCAUCGGUCAGAUAAGGAUGCCAGUGGCAUGCUGGUUUGCAGGGAGCUGCGUUUCAAAUGUAGCCACCAAUUAUUCUAGUCUGUUGUUGAAUGACUGGUGGUUAUCAUAUGUUAGUCUGUCAAGUCUCCAGCUGUUGACAUUUUUCUGAUUUUCUGUUAAUCCUUGAAGUUCAAAAGUUAUUGAUGUUUUUGCUUUGUGAUGCCCCUGGGGGAGAUGAUUAAUUUACCAAAUGAUAUUUUCCCUUGUUUCACCCAGUCAGCUCAAUUCCAUCACUUAAACGUUUUGAAUGAGUUUAGUAACAUAAAUGCAUUCAGAAAAAGAACAUACCUAAAGAAUUGUAAAUAGUUAGUUUUUUGUUUGAAGAGAACCAAAAGUGAUUAAAUAAAAUGCAUUUGAUGGGUA
This is a long non-coding RNA of Oncorhynchus gorbuscha (pink salmon), 7318 nucleotides long. RefSeq lists it as uncharacterized. The transcript has 2 exons. NCBI's taxonomy places the organism in Eukaryota, Metazoa, Chordata, Actinopteri, Salmoniformes, Salmonidae. The record is from RefSeq and is a predicted model, not a curated record.